Molecule: ribosomal RNA, 861 nt
Filed under: uncultured Clostridia bacterium
Lineage: Bacteria; Bacillati; Bacillota; Clostridia
Description: bacterial SSU rRNA
Rfam family: Bacterial small subunit ribosomal RNA
Source: RNAcentral
GGACGAACGCUGGCGGCGUGCUUAAUACAUGCAAGUCGAACGGGGUUAAAGUAAAUAGUUUACUAUUAACUUUAACCUAGUGGCGAACGGGUGAGUAACGCGUGGGUAAUCUGUCCUUAAGCCCGGGAUAACAGAGCGAAAGUUCUGCUAAGACCGGAUAUGCUCUUUAGGUCGCAUGACUUUAAGAGGAAAGGCAACACUUAGGGGUGAGCCCGCGUCCCAUUAGCUAGUUGGUAAGGUAAAAGCUUACCAAGGCAACGAUGGGUAGCCGGCCUGAGAGGGUGAUCGGCCACACUGGGACUGAGACACGGCCCAGACUCCUACGGGAGGCAGCGGUAGGGAAUUUUCCGCAAUGGGCGCAAGCCUGACGGAGCAACGCCGCGUGAGGGAUGAAGGUCUUCGGAUCGUAAACCUUUGUCAUCGAGGAAGAUAAUGACGGUACUCGAGGAGGAAGCCCCGGCUAACUACGUGCCAGCAGCCGCGGUAACACGUAGGGGGCGAGCGUUGUCCGGAAUUACUGGGCGUAAAGGGCGCGUAGGCGGCCUAUUAAGUCAGAUGUGAAACCCCUGGGCUUAACCUUGGGCUUGCAUUUGAAACUGAAAGGCUUGAGGGCAGGAGAGGAAAACGGAAUUCCCAGUGUAGCGGUGAAAUGCGUAGAUAUUGGGAGGAACACCAGUGGCGAAGGCGGUUUUCUGGACUGCACCUGACGCUGAGGCGCGAAAGCUAGGGUAGCAAACGGGAUUAGAUACCCCGGUAGUCCUGGCUGUAAACGAUGGAUACUAGGUGUGGGAGGUAUCGACCCCUUCUGUGCCGCAGUUAACACAUUAAGUAUCCCGCCUGGGGAGUACGGCCGCAAGGCUG